RNAcentral lists this ribosomal RNA (758 nucleotides) under Corynebacterium glutamicum. Its description in RNAcentral is "bacterial SSU rRNA". It matches the Rfam family "Bacterial small subunit ribosomal RNA", at positions 725 to 1474 of the family's 1533-position model. Lineage: Bacteria; Bacillati; Actinomycetota; Actinomycetes; Mycobacteriales; Corynebacteriaceae. The record is from RNAcentral.
CCUCCUGGGCAGUUAACUGACGCUGUAAGGAAGCGAAAGCAUGGGUAGCGAACAGGAUUAGAUACCCUGGUAGUCCAUGCCGUAAACGGUGGGCGCUAGGUGUAGGGGUCUUCCACGACUUCUGUGCCGCAGCUAACGCAUUAAGCGCCCCGCCUGGGGAGUACGGCCGCAAGGCUAAAACUCAAAGGAAUUGACGGGGGCCCGCACAAGCGGCGGAGCAUGUGGAUUAAUUCGAUGCAACGCGAAGAACCUUACCUGGGCUUGACAUGGACCGGAUCGGCGUAGAGAUACCUUUUUCCUUUGUGGGUCGGUUUCACAGGUGGUGCAUGGUUGUCGUCAGCUCGUGUCGUGAGAUGUUGGGUUAAGUCCCGCAACGAGCGCAACCCUUGUCUUAUGUUUGCCAGCACAUCAUGGUGGGUACUCAUGAGAGACUGCCGGGGUUAACUCGGAGGAAGGUGGGGAUGACGUCAAAUCAUCAUGCCCCUUAUGUCCAGGGCUUCACACAUGCUACAAUGGUCGGUACAGCGAGUUGCCACACCGUGAGGUGGAGCUAAUCUCUUAAAGCCGGCCUCAGUUCGGAUUGGGGUCUGCAACUCGACCCCAUGAAGUCGGAGUCGCUAGUAAUCGCAGAUCAGCAACGCUGCGGUGAAUACGUUCCCGGGCCUUGUACACACCGCCCGUCACGUCAUGAAAGUUGGUAACACCCGAAGCCAGUGGCCCAACCCUUGUGGGGGAGCUGUCGAGUGGAUCGCGAUGGA